CAAUAAAAGUGUUCAUGUUGCUGGCCU
RNAcentral lists this non-coding RNA (27 nucleotides) under Rattus norvegicus (Norway rat). The record is from RNAcentral. Lineage: Eukaryota; Metazoa; Chordata; Mammalia; Rodentia; Muridae.